Molecule: ribosomal RNA, 301 nt
Filed under: uncultured bacterium
Lineage: Bacteria
Description: partial 16S ribosomal RNA
Rfam family: Bacterial small subunit ribosomal RNA
Source: RNAcentral
CAGUCGCCGCGGUAAUACAGAGGAUGCAAGCGUUAUCCGGAAUGAUUGGGCGUAAAGCGUCUGUAGGUGGCUUUUCAAGUCCGCCGUCAAAUCCCAGGGCUCAACCCUGGACAGGCAGUGGAAACUACCAAGCUGGAGUACGGUAGGGGCAGAGGGAAUUUCCGGUGUAGCGGUGAAAUGCGUAGAGAUGUGGAGGAACACCAGUGGCGAAGGCGACUCUCUGGUCUGUAACUGACGCUGAGGAGCGAAAGCGUGGGGAGCGAACAGGAUUAGAUACCCCAGUAGUCCCUGUCUCUUAUAA